RNAcentral lists this transfer RNA (70 nucleotides) under Camelus bactrianus (Bactrian camel). It matches the Rfam family "tRNA". Rfam says of the family: Transfer RNA (tRNA) molecules are approximately 80 nucleotides in length. Their secondary structure includes four short double-helical elements and three loops (D, anti-codon, and T loops). Lineage: Eukaryota; Metazoa; Chordata; Mammalia; Artiodactyla; Camelidae. RNAcentral also lists the same sequence under 1 other name. The record is from Rfam by way of RNAcentral.
GGAAAUCGCUCAGUAGUAGAGUGCAUGCUUAGCAUGCAAGAGAUCCUGGGUUCACUCCCCGGUACUUCCA